Melospiza melodia melodia is the source of this 379-nucleotide long non-coding RNA. RefSeq lists it as uncharacterized. The record is from RefSeq and is a predicted model, not a curated record. The transcript is spliced from 3 exons. Lineage: Eukaryota; Metazoa; Chordata; Aves; Passeriformes; Passerellidae.
GGAAAAACAGCCUGGCAGCAAAGCCAUCUCUCCCCAUUCCUUGAUCUGUCACACUAACCCCUGGCUGGUGCACAUCAAAAUGUGCAGAGAAUCUGAAGAGAAGAGCAAUGUUUCCACCCGGUUCCAGAUCAUGAGUGGGCUUCCCACUCAAUGGAUGAAAAUGAGACUCCUUUUGCUACUGUCCACAUCCUCCUGAACAGCUCUGGCACAACCGAUGGUUCUCACUUUCACUGCACUGCUGGUUACAGGAAGCAAAAGCAGGAACCUGGCUUGUUCCACGCUGGGUUCCAACAGAAGAACACAUCAGCCUUUGGGAAACAUCCCUGCCUCCAAAAAGGAUCCAUGGCCUGGACACAGGACACUGGAAGUGGAAGAAUGA